CAGGUGAGUUCUUCACAUCAUCUGGCUGAGCUUAAGUUCAGAGCUAGUGCACUGACCUUGCUCUUUGCAUUUUUCUGGAGCAGCCUGGGAGAAGUAAUGGUGGAACAAGGGCUGUCUUCCUCCAAACCACCCAAGCUUUCCCUGCACUGCCAAGGAAGCAGAGAACCUUGCUUUGCAUCCCCAUCCUGUCUCACGUUUAGACUGGUGAAAGACUGGUGCUGGAUGUGGGCUGGUAUUUCCCAGUAGCCUGUUGUUUGACACCAUCCUGCAAUGACCUAUGCUCUGCCUCAGCUCACUUCCUGAAGCAUGUGUUGCAUAUGAUGGCUAGGUUGGCCUCUUCUAACAGGAGACAGCUGUCAAUCCAGUGAGAUAGCAGCUAGAAUAACUCUUCCAGUUUCAGUCAGAGUCAUUAACCAGAUGACCAGCGCAUGGGUUUUCCACCAAAUGUCCUUUAGAGGGCUCAUACCGAUUUUUCAAAUGUUUUUAUGAGAUGAAGCAAUGCCACAAAAUCAUCUCUUUCCUAUGAGCCUGCUUGCCUGGCAUACCCAGCCGCAAGGAUAAAACUGCAGUGGGCUUGCACCUCCAUUCUUGAUGGGAAGGCUUAUUGCAGAGACUUUAGCAAAUGUGCUAAUGUGAGUAAGCUGUGAAAGAAGUUUGCCCUUUCCUGGUAUUUAAACAUCCUACCACACUAAAGCUCACUGGCUCUUCUCCAUGCCAGCUUAAGACGAGGCUUGGCUGUGGCACUUUGCAGGUGUAGGGACACUGAGAUCCAAAGGAUACAGCAGGAGCCAACAGGUAUGUUCUUGCCUCAUGUUUGCUGUUGCAAAUCCCUCGAUGGAUGUGAUCUACAUGAAUUAAUUGCUUCAUGUAUUGAAUGAGGUGGUUGCAAAUGAAGCUAAGACUCAAAGAGGAAACACAUUUCCACAUGCCUAAUUUUCCCUGUUGCUGAAACGCAGCUCUGUAACAGUGUGAGUCAAUGCAGCCAGUCUCUUUAUUGUAAUACAAAUAGAUGGAAAUUUCUUAAAAUGUUGUCCUUGCCUGAAUAAAAAGUAUACUGACAAAUUCCACUGAGGCUUUCAUGACUAAUUAACUAAAGGCAAAAAAAAAAAAAAAAAUUCACUUGCUCUGUUAAAAUUAUCCUUUCUGUAAGAAAUUGACCUAAAUUCUUCUUUCCAUUGGAAUCCAAAGUAAUCACACUGUCCCUGUCUUCCUUUCCUUUGCACCCCUCUUACCGUGCCCUCAGCUGGAUAGAGAUGCUCCUGCCCUGAAGUGAAAGUAUCAGCAUCACCCAAGUCCUCUGGAAGCCAUCCACCAGCUACCAGCUGCUCUUGGCUCUUUCCCAAGUCUGUCACCACCCUUACUUUGAAUUUGCUCAAGUGAAUUCCUUCCUCCAUGCUGGCCUGAGUGUUCAUCUGCCAGAAAAAUAGGUACCGCAGUGUUCUUCAUCUGAAGGGUGUGAUUGUGCUGCAGGCAGGGCUGAGCUCAGGCGGUUUGCAGGAACUGGCUUCACUACCAAUGUUGAUGCCAUUUUCUGCCCUGCUCCCUGGUGCACGUUCCUGGUGCUCGCUUUACAGAAUUCCUUCUCAUGUUUGCUGUGGGGAUGGCUUAAAAAUUGUUACUGGUUCAGGUCCUUUGGAAAUUAAAUAUACUUCAUAUGUCCGUUACCUUUCUCUCCCCCAUUUCCUUCUAUAAACUUCCAACCUGUUUGACCACUUCUGCUGUUGAAAAGUACCAUGCUCUCCUCAGCAAGAUAAAGGAUGUUUGAUGCUUUGAAUUCUGUAUUUAAUAUGGCUACAGAGCCUUGGGAAGUUGAUAUUUGCUCGGUUGGGUCUUCUGACCAGUUUGGAUGAGACUUUCAUCAACCUGGUCUAGUGGAAGGUGUCCCUGCCUGUGGCAAGGGGCUGGAAAUGGAGAGCUUUCAGGUCCCUUCCAACACAAACUGUUCCAUGAUCCUGUGGUUCUGCACAUCUGCCUAUACAGAAAGCUAUUGAACUGUGGAAAGCGAUGACUGAAAGUGAAGUGCAUCUCUUGAUUUCUGACGGUAUAUUCACUGGUAAAAUGGAGUAUAUUAUUCCUGUAAGAUAAUACAUCAGAUAGUUGUAAACCUAGCAAAAUUGUUUCUUUCUAACAAUGUUUCUCAGUUUCAGCUUUGAUGUGAAGGGCUACAGCUAAAUUGGGCUAAUGACAAACAAGAAAAUCUCGCUUGAGAGUUUGGAGAUGUCUGCACUAUAAAGGAAACUGAAUUCUCAGAGAGGCAUGAUAAAUGCACAGUUAAAUGUCUCAAUUGCUGUCUCGGUUGAUGGCAGUCAUUUGUCGAUGGUAAUGCCAAUAUGUGCUGUAAUUUUAUAAAUGCUCUGAAGUAUUCAAAAUACAUUCAAAACUACUCUAAAUUGCUGCCCGAAGUUUCAGCACAGUAUUGGUUGUCAAACAGAGAAUUUGAAAGGAUAGUAUCUACUUGGAAAUUGCAGUACUGCCUGAACACCGGGUAUCUUCUAGCCCUGCAAAUCAGAGUUUAAAAUGGUGAGACUACUGAAGUUUUGAUGGUUUUGUUUUCUUUCAAUGGUGCUUUAUGAGCAGAUUUACUGUAUUGGUCAUGUGCACUCAGUCCAUGGUCACACUUUCCUUGGAUGGAGGGCUCACAAGGUGCCUCCUCUCCCAGCUUGGAAGCAGCAGGUAAACAACACUCAGCUUUGUCAUUUCCAAAGCUUUGAUAUCAAUUUCCACCUGUUUUGGGAAACAGCAUCCUUACCAGCUGAGCAGUUUUACUCAUUGAAACAAAUAUUCACUGUUGUUCUCUUCUAGGGUCUUACAGCAAGAACAAAAAGCAACAAAAAUAGAUAAAGUGUAAAAUAAAGAUGCUGGAAAUCACACAGAAAGGCUCACAUUCUGUGCACAGAGCUUCCUGAGCAGUGCAACAACCCCAACGCAACCACCAGUGCAGGAACAUCUCCCAGCAAUGAUAAUUGCAUCUGUCAGUAACUACAAAACUUACCUAGCUUUCCAGAAGACACCCUAAUGCAUGAGAUGUGGGAGAACAAGCUCAAAUCCAGACAGAAAGCAGAGCAGAGCCCAAAGUGGGUGUAUCAGUUUUUUUCUAACCUGAUAAAUGGAUGCUGAUGCAGAAGUUUCCAUCCCAAGAGCUUCUCCUUGACAGAGGUGUAGAGCUAAAGGUCCCAGGGUCCUUCCCAUGAGGAAACCUGGUGAUGAGGCUAGCCCACUCAGGUAUAAUUCUUUCUCUAAUUUUCUACUAGGUUUUCAGUCAUUCCAAUUCUAAAACCUCAUUUUACCAAAUUGCCCCAUGAUGCUGCCACAGCCUUAUCAGUGUCCUGUUGCUGCUUGUCCAUGAAAUUAAAUGACUAUGGGGAGGUGCUAAUCACAGUUAAGGCUAAACAACUGCAAACGCCUACAAAGGAUGGUAAAAUGCUCUGAGGUUCCUGUAGUA
Neopsephotus bourkii (Bourke's parrot) is the source of this 3442-nucleotide long non-coding RNA. RefSeq lists it as uncharacterized. NCBI's taxonomy places the organism in Eukaryota, Metazoa, Chordata, Aves, Psittaciformes, Psittacidae. The transcript has 3 exons. The record is from RefSeq and is a predicted model, not a curated record.